UCAGACAAAGAGAAUGAUAAAAUCUUAUUCUAAAGCAUUUCUCAACCGUUAGACUUAAAUGAAAAAUCUUUUAAAUGCAGGUCCCAAACAGGCUUUUAAAGCACCGACAACAGGCGUUUUAUAACAUUGAUUGAGGAUUUCCUAAACAGCUUUUCAUAUGUCACUCAACUAGUUAGUAUAUAAUGUUUCAAACAGUUUUUUAAAGAUGUUAUUGCUAAUGAAAAGCUCAUUUAUUUUCGUCUAUGUGUCUUUUUUUUAGUCGAGUCCUUUAUUGAGUAGAUCAGUUGGAAAAUAAAAUGGAUUAUAACUCCAUCUCUAAGGGCGUUAUGACUUCCUAAUAACCAGCUAAACUAACAAAACCCCGCGCUAAUAACUAAUCGGCAAACAAACGCACACUUUCCACGACAGAUUAGUGGCCUCGAAGCUGCUUAUGUUUAAAAGCCAACAACGCCAAGUACAACACCAAGAACCCUGCAAGCCUGAUGGACCAAAUAAAGGUGUUUGAAAUUCGCCAUAGGUGAAACAGGUAUUAAAUUGUGCAAUUGUUCGAUUCAGCAACACCUUUGUUAUUGAAUUUGAUCAAAGAUAAGACAGUUAUUAUGUGAAAGAAAAAUCCAUAAAAAUACAAAGUUCCAUACUUUAAAUUCUAAUUUAUCUAAAAAUAUCGGAAAAGUUCCUCAGACGAAGGAGGUCUACUCUUUCUCACAGUUUGUGUUUUGCUGGUAUACGGCAGCUGGCAAGAGACCCUUGAAGUGUGUAAUCAUGGGCCAAAUAGAAACUAGCUAAAGAGGAUCUAGUUUGUCGCUGGAAGAAGAAGAAGGGAUUGAAGCACUCGAUGACAAGGGGGGGAAUAUUUCUUUCUCUCCAAGACGCAAAUUCCUAUCUUAUAAGGUCGGGGAUAAGGCGCACCAGUAAAGGUGUCUGCUUCUCAAAAGACGGAAAUCCUAGAUCAAAAUAUUACUUAACGGGGCUCCAACUCUUCUAUUUUCUCAAAUAAAGAUAAAUAGGAAUAUACAUACACCAAAGACAAA
Nematostella vectensis (starlet sea anemone) is the source of this 1031-nucleotide long non-coding RNA. RefSeq lists it as uncharacterized. The record is from RefSeq and is a predicted model, not a curated record. The transcript is spliced from 2 exons. Lineage: Eukaryota; Metazoa; Cnidaria; Anthozoa; Actiniaria; Edwardsiidae.